RNAcentral lists this ribosomal RNA (379 nucleotides) under uncultured bacterium. RNAcentral describes it as "bacterial SSU rRNA". It matches the Rfam family "Bacterial small subunit ribosomal RNA", at positions 360 to 758 of the family's 1533-position model. The record is from RNAcentral.
UAUUGGAAUGGAGAAACUCUGAUCGCGACGCCGCGUGCGGGAUGAAGGCCUUCGGGUUGUAAACCGCUUUCAGCAGGGAAGAAGCGAAAGUGACGGUACCUGCAAAAGAAGCACCGGCUAACUAUGUGCCAGCAGCCGCGGUAAUACAUAGGGUGCAAGCGUUGUCCGGAAUUAUUGGGCGUAAAGAGCUCGUAGGUCGUUAAUCACGUCGGGUGUGAAAAUCUGGGGCUCAACCCCAGACCUGCACUCGAUACGGGUUAGCUAGAGUUUGGUAGGGGAGACUGGAAUUCCUGGUGUAGCGGUGGAAUGCGCAGAUAUCAGGAGGAACACCAAUGGCGAAGGCAGGUCUCUGGGCCAAUACUGACACUGAGGAGCGAAA